AGAGUUUGAUCAUGGCUCAGAUUGAACGCUGGCGGCAGGCCUAACACAUGCAAGUCGAGCGGUAACAGAAAGUAGCUUGCUGCUUUGCUGACGAGCGGCGGACGGGUGAGUAAUGCCUGGGAAUAUGCCUUGAUGUGGGGGAUAACCAUUGGAAACGAUGGCUAAUACCGCAUAAUGUCUUCGGACCAAAGAGGGGGACCUUCGGGCCUCUCGCGUCAAGAUUAGCCCAGGUGGGAUUAGCUAGUAGGUGAGGUAAUGGCUCACCUAGGCGACGAUCUCUAGCUGGUCUGAGAGGAUGAUCAGCCACACUGGAACUGAGACACGGUCCAGACUCCUACGGGAGGCAGCAGUGGGGAAUAUUGCACAAUGGGCGCAAGCCUGAUGCAGCCAUGCCGCGUGUGUGAAGAAGGCCUUCGGGUUGUAAAGCACUUUCAGUCGUGAGGAAGGCAGUUGCGUUAAUAGCGUAAUUGUUUGACGUUAGCGACAGAAGAAGCACCGGCUAACUCCGUGCCAGCAGCCGCGGUAAUACGGAGGGUGCGAGCGUUAAUCGGAAUUACUGGGCGUAAAGCGCAUGCAGGUGGUUAGUUAAGUCAGAUGUGAAAGCCCGGGGCUCAACCUCGGAAUUGCAUUUGAAACUGGCUAGCUAGAGUGCUGUAGAGGGGGGU
Molecule: ribosomal RNA, 665 nt
Filed under: uncultured bacterium
Lineage: Bacteria
Description: bacterial SSU rRNA
Rfam family: Bacterial small subunit ribosomal RNA
Source: RNAcentral